Melanotaenia boesemani (Boeseman's rainbowfish) is the source of this 620-nucleotide long non-coding RNA. RefSeq lists it as uncharacterized. The record is from RefSeq and is a predicted model, not a curated record. The transcript has 3 exons. NCBI's taxonomy places the organism in Eukaryota, Metazoa, Chordata, Actinopteri, Atheriniformes, Melanotaeniidae.
AAUUCAGUGUAAUUAUGGCAGAUUCCUGAUGCCUUUAGAAAAGGUUUUAUUUCAGCUUUUACAGUUAAUUGUAAGAUCGUUUUCUUUCUGUCUUUUUCUGCUUGUUCUGUUAAUGUCAGAGGCUGAAGAGAUUUAUUACGGAGGAAAGCUGGAUUUUUGUUCUGCAGAAGUAAAAAUGCAGGUUUUUAUUUUCUUCCAGAAAGCCGUGCACGUGCAGCAGAUGAGACUUUGUGGAAAAAUGAGUGGAGCAGUGAGACGUGGUUCUCCAGUGGAAGUCAUGGAUCAGCAGGAGCAGCCAUCUUAAAAGCUCCAUUUAAAGGUCACACACUACAGAGGAUCAGCAUGAAUAAAGCCUUUCAUGAAGCGGAGCAUGGCUGAAUUUCUCCCGUGUGUAACACAUGGAGUUCAAAGCUUCACACACCUGGAAACAGCAGCAGGGUUAUGUCACUGCUGCAGGUUUGUGAUGAAGUGGAGCGAAAACAUCCAGCUUUGGGAAAGAAGUGACAAAGAUUUGACUGCGUCUGCAAAAAGUGCUUCACCUGCCUCCAGAGAAAUCUCUGCCAUACCAGCUGUACCUGGAGGCCAGAGAGGAGGCUCUCGUUGAAGAGUUACCAGGAGUU